GGGCUCGCUUCGGCAGCACGUAUACUAAAAUUGGAAUGAUACAGAGAAAAUUAGCAUGGCCCUUGCGUAAGGAUGACCUGCAAAUUUGUGAAGCGUUCCAUACUUUU
Small nuclear RNA from Ahaetulla prasina, 107 nucleotides. Lineage: Eukaryota; Metazoa; Chordata; Lepidosauria; Squamata; Colubridae. The record is from RefSeq and is a predicted model, not a curated record.